UCUCGUUGAUCCUGCGAGAGGUUGCUGCUAUGAGGGUGCGACUUAGCCAUGCAAGUCAGGGAAGCAAUUCCCGGCGAAUAGCUCAGUAACACGUCGAUAACCUGCCCUUUGGUCAUGGAUAACCUCGGGAAACUGAGGACAAUACAUGGUAGGGAAUGGGCACUGGAACGUCCCAUUUCUGAAAGGUAACGCCAAAGGAUGGGUCGGCGGCCGAUUAGGUUGUUGGUGAGGUAAUGGCUCACCAAGCCGACGAUCGGUAGGGGCCGUGAGAGCGGUAGCCCCGAGAAGGGAACUGAGACACUGUCCCUAGCCCUAAGGGGUGCAGCAGGCGCGUAACCUUUACAAUGUGCGAAAGCGUGAUAAGGGUACCCUCAGUGCUUAUGCAAUGCAUAGGCUUUUGUCAAGGGUAAAAACCUUGGCGAAUAAGUGGUGGGUAAGACUGGUGCCAGCCGCCGCGGUAACACCAGCGCCACGAGUGGGAACCGCUUUUAUUGGGCCUAAAGCGUCCGUAGCAGGUCAUGUAAAUUCUUUGUGAAAUCAUCCAGCUCAACUGGUUGACGCGCAAAGAACACUGCAUGACUAGGGACCGGGAGGGGCAAGAGGUAUUCUUGGGGGAGCGGUAAAAUGCUAUAAUCCCAAGAGGACCACCUGUGGCGAAGGCGUCUUGCCAGAACGGAUCCGACUGUGAGGGACGAAAGCUAGGGGAGCGAUCCGGAUUAGAUACCCGAGUAGUCCUAGCCGUAAACGCUGCGAGCCAGGUGUUGCGCAAUCUUUAAAAUUGCGCAGUGUCGUAAUGAAGAUGCUAAGCUCGCCGCCUGGGAAGUACGGUCGCAAGGCUGAACCUUAAAGGAAUUGGCGGGGGAGCACCACAAGGGGUGCGGCGUGCGGUUUAAUCUAACUCAACACAGAGAAUCUCACCAGCAGCGACGGCAGGAUGAAAGUCAGGUUGAAGGCCUUACUUGACGAGCCGAGAGGUGGUGCAUGGCCGUCGUCAGCUCGUGCCGUAAGGUGUCCUCUUAAGUGAGGCAACGAGCGAGACCUGUACUCGCAAUUGCUAACAGGCUCAGUGACUGAGCACAAUGCGAGGACUGCCUUGGAAACAAGGAGGAAGGUGCAGGCUACGGUAGGUCUGUAUGCCCCGAAUCUGCUGGGCUACACGCGCGCAACAAUGGUAGGGACAGAAGGAUGCCACUCCGAAAGGAGGAGCUAAUCCCCUAAACCCUGCCCUAGUACAAAUCGAGGCUUGUAACUCAGCCUCGUGACGAUGGAAUCCCUAGUAAUCAGGUGUUAUCAGCGCCUGGUGAAUAUGUCCCUGCUCCUUGCACACACCGCCCGUCAAACCACCCGAGCAGGGUCUAGAUGAGGCUUGUCGUUUUGGAUAUUCCGAAUCUAGGCUCAGUGAGGUGGGUUAAGUCGUCACAAGGUAGCCGUAGGGGAACCUGCGGCUGGAUCACCUCC
This 1458-nucleotide ribosomal RNA is filed under the name uncultured archaeon. Its description in RNAcentral is "bacterial SSU rRNA". It matches the Rfam family "Archaeal small subunit ribosomal RNA". The record is from RNAcentral.